Molecule: long non-coding RNA, 275 nt
Organism: Ictalurus punctatus (channel catfish)
Lineage: Eukaryota; Metazoa; Chordata; Actinopteri; Siluriformes; Ictaluridae
Source: Ensembl
GUCCAAAUCAUUUGACUGAAACCUUUUCACCGACGGCGGUGAAGGAGCCGAGAUGCUAUCGGCGCUCGCUCGUUAUUAUCCGUCUGCCACAGCUGCCGACGUCCAGAGGAUUUUCAAAAGAUUGCCGAGCACACCUCGCCUGACUGUCCAAGGUAAUGCCAAACCUCAUUCAGUAUACUACUGCUCAAAUCUGGAUGCGUCCCGUAAUUAACGGUGCAAUUUGUUUCGCUCAUUAGGAAUUCUACUGCACUGUGAAACCGGAUAAGUUCAUUUAA